AGCCAGAGCUUGGGAUCGCUUUCUGCUAUUCAACGUCCUCCACCUCUGCCCCCCUCUCGCCCCAGCCGGUGACAGGCUGUUGCCCUGUGAUCUGCAGGUCCUGGGACGUGCACAGACAGCUAAGAUGCCAGGACAUUCCAGAAGGUGGGAAAGGCACCUGAGUAAUUUGACUCUCCUGCCUGGACCCAGCGUACAGAUGGGAUUGUGCUUCAUUGCUGGACCCAGCAUUUAGGCCCACUACCUAUGAGAUUGCAUGCUCCUGCCUGGGCUGUGCCCACAGUGACCUUGUGACAUAUAUCUGCAUCCAUGACCUAAAAGAUGUGACACUUCUUGCCUGCAACCUGCCCUGCACAGGAAAGAUUGCGACUUCUCCCUGGAAGCAGACACCAGGAGAGAACUGUAACAUAUCCCUGGAUGAGCACCCAGGUGAUGUGAUAUUCCUGCUUGGUUCUUUCCCUCAGGGAAGAUUGUGAGAUACCCUUGGC
Molecule: long non-coding RNA, 485 nt
Filed under: Homo sapiens (human)
Lineage: Eukaryota; Metazoa; Chordata; Mammalia; Primates; Hominidae
Description: non-protein coding LINC01224:29
Source: RNAcentral